This 230-nucleotide long non-coding RNA is filed under the name Gossypium barbadense (sea-island cotton). RNAcentral describes it as "long non-coding RNA (GBAR_LNC018174)". The record is from RNAcentral. Lineage: Eukaryota; Viridiplantae; Streptophyta; Magnoliopsida; Malvales; Malvaceae.
UGUACAGGCCAAUUUUGGGCCACCCCAAAACCCAACUAACCUACCCUAACCUAAACAGCCCAAUACCCAUAAGCCCAACUAAUACAUCAGCCAACCCAAAAUUUAAACCCAAACAAAUCAAAACCUUAAAGCCCAAAUGGCCCAAAAUCUAAAACAUUUUUCAGCAAAAUUUCAGCAGCAAACCCUAGCUGGCCGUCGCAUGCCUCACGUGGCCUCCUCAUCUGCCACGC